AGGCGAGUGGCUCAAUUGGCAGAGCACCGGUCUCCAAAACCGGGGGUUACAGGUUCAACUCCUGUCUCGCCUG
This 73-nucleotide transfer RNA is filed under the name Candidatus Susulua stagnicola. Its description in RNAcentral is "tRNA-Trp". It matches the Rfam family "tRNA". Rfam says of the family: Transfer RNA (tRNA) molecules are approximately 80 nucleotides in length. Lineage: Bacteria; Pseudomonadati; Candidatus Omnitrophota. The record is from RNAcentral.